AGAACAGCACGUAGCAGGCCCCCGUGGAGGAUUAACACAGUGGCUGAACACCGGGAAGGAACUGGCACUUGGAGUCCGGACAUCUGAAACUUGGUCUAGAGAACACACGCAAUUUUGUUACAUGGGAAUAUUGUGUUGUGCUGAGGUCUGGAGUAUGGAUCCCUUCACCCAGAGUUGACAAGCCGACAUCAGUCUCCAGAGUGAAUCCAAGGAGUGGACCCAAGACAUUUGUGUUCUGUGAUGUGGUGGCAUGUUACCUGUCAUCUCUGAUGCAUAACUCCUAAAGUGUUUGCGUCUGGGGCAGUUGUACAGAUUGCAAAGGAUAAUACUCAAGAUGUCCUCCAAGGCCAACUACUCAUCAGUUUAUUCAUGUUUCUGGGACUGGAUUCAUGAAUUCAUCCUUUCAACUAUUUCAACAAGCUUUUUCAUGUAACUAAUCUGUGGAAGGUAGAAAGGGGAAAACUGUUGGGUGCUAAAAUGACAACUGGUUCAAGGUACAAUGGCGAAUAUUUUUAUUUCUGCAACUUUUCUUAGAGGUUGGAAACUAGACUGGGCAGGAAGAUUCCUUUUUGUAAGAUUAGUCUCCAGUUUUCAUCAAGCAGUUUAGUGGGGUAUUUUAGGCCCAGUUCCCUCUCCACAGUCCCCAAAGGUCUUCUGUUAACUUUAAAUCAGCAAAGAGAGAGAUCUCUGCCAAGUAGCAACUGCAAGAGCAUGUGGGUCAAAGUUACCAGCAGACACUCAAAGCCCAUUCCCUUUACUUCAACACCGCUUUAUAAAUUAUUUUAGAGACGUUGUCAGGUUGGUAUCAGAGGUGAGUGGUCAUGACUUCAUGAUUUCUCAUCUUUCUGAAUGCAUAGUGGCUGGGAGUGGUGGCUCAUGCCUGUAAUCCCAGCACUUUGGGAGGCCGAGGUGGGCAGACU
Molecule: long non-coding RNA, 920 nt
Filed under: Pan troglodytes (chimpanzee)
Lineage: Eukaryota; Metazoa; Chordata; Mammalia; Primates; Hominidae
Description: lincRNA
Source: RNAcentral